CAGCCGCCGCGGGAACACGGAGGGUGCAAGCGUUAUCCGGAUUUAUUGGGUUUAAAGGGUCCGUAGGCGGAUCUGUAAGUCAGUGGUGAAAUCUCACAGCUUAACUGUGAAACUGCCAUUGAUACUGCAGGUCUUGAGUAAAUUUGAAGUGGCUGGAAUAAGUAGUGUAGCGGUGAAAUGCAUAGAUAUUACUUAGAACACCAAUUGCGAAGGCAGGUCACUAAGAUUUAACUGGCGCUGAUGGACGAAAGCGUGGGGAGCGAACAGGAUUAGAUAUCCCGGUAGUCCCUGUCUCUUAUAC
Molecule: ribosomal RNA, 301 nt
Filed under: uncultured bacterium
Lineage: Bacteria
Description: partial 16S ribosomal RNA
Rfam family: Bacterial small subunit ribosomal RNA
Source: RNAcentral